AGCCUUUAGCAAAACCAGUAUUAAAGGUGAUGCCUGCCCAGUGAUAACAUUUAACGGCCGCGGUAUCCUAACCGUGCAAAGGUAGCGCAAUCACUUGUUCUUUAAAUAAGGACUAGUAUGAAUGGCUCCAUGAGGAUCAACUUGUCUCUCGUAACAAGUCUAUGAAACUGAUCUUCCAGUACAAAAGCUGGGAUAGACUCACAAGACGAGAAGACCCUGUGGAGCUUUAGACUUACCCUCACAAAAAUGACACUACAGUCUUUAGUUGGGGCGACUUUGGAGCAAAACAAAACCUCCAAAACUUCAAACUUAGGCAGCCAUGCCAAAACCUCCAUAACCACUUGACCCAAUAAAAUUGAUCAAUGAACCAAGUUACCCCAGGGAUAACAGCGCAAUCUUCUUUUAGAGUCCCUAUCGACAAGAAGGUUUACGACCUCGAUGUUGGAUCAGGAUACCCAAAUAGUGCAGCCGCUAUUAACGGUUCGUUUGUUCAACGAUUAAUAAUCCUACG
Molecule: ribosomal RNA, 511 nt
Filed under: Amphisbaena bakeri
Lineage: Eukaryota; Metazoa; Chordata; Lepidosauria; Squamata; Amphisbaenidae
Description: partial 16S ribosomal RNA
Rfam family: Bacterial large subunit ribosomal RNA
Source: RNAcentral